AUACCUUUCUCGGCCUUUUGGCUAAGAUCAAGUGUAGUAUCUGUUCUUAUCAGUUUAAUAUCUGAUACGUAGGCCAAUGGCCUACACGAUAUUAAAUUAAUUUUUUAUUGGGGAGGGCCCAUUACAGUAGCUUGCUAUUGGGGUUCUUAAGCGUCGUCCAUGCGUUGCACUACAGCAAGGGCCCGGCGCACCCACU
This 196-nucleotide small nuclear RNA is filed under the name Jatropha curcas. Its description in RNAcentral is "U2 spliceosomal RNA". It matches the Rfam family "U2 spliceosomal RNA". Rfam says of the family: U2 is a small nuclear RNA (snRNA) component of the spliceosome (involved in pre-mRNA splicing). Complementary binding between U2 snRNA (in an area lying towards the 5' end but 3' to hairpin I) and the branchpoint sequence (BPS) of the intron results the bulging out of an unpaired adenosine, on the BPS, which initiates a nucleophilic attack at the intronic 5' splice site, thus starting the first of two transesterification reactions that mediate splicing. Lineage: Eukaryota; Viridiplantae; Streptophyta; Magnoliopsida; Malpighiales; Euphorbiaceae. The record is from Rfam by way of RNAcentral.